AAAGCUUUACUCAGCCUUUUGGCUAAGAUCAAGUGUAGUAUCUGUUCCUAUAAGUUUAAAAGCUGUACUCUUAAGAUCAGUAAUAAUACAAGUAUGCCUGCUUUCACCACUU
This 112-nucleotide small nuclear RNA is filed under the name Zalophus californianus (California sea lion). RNAcentral's name for it is "U2 spliceosomal RNA (ENSZCAG00015005317.1)". It matches the Rfam family "U2 spliceosomal RNA". From Rfam's summary of the family: U2 is a small nuclear RNA (snRNA) component of the spliceosome (involved in pre-mRNA splicing). Complementary binding between U2 snRNA (in an area lying towards the 5' end but 3' to hairpin I) and the branchpoint sequence (BPS) of the intron results the bulging out of an unpaired adenosine, on the BPS, which initiates a nucleophilic attack at the intronic 5' splice site, thus starting the first of two transesterification reactions that mediate splicing. The record is from RNAcentral. RNAcentral also lists the same sequence under 1 other name. Lineage: Eukaryota; Metazoa; Chordata; Mammalia; Carnivora; Otariidae.